Molecule: RNA transcript, 15758 nt
Organism: Callithrix jacchus (white-tufted-ear marmoset)
Lineage: Eukaryota; Metazoa; Chordata; Mammalia; Primates; Cebidae
Source: RefSeq, a predicted model, not a curated record
UCUUCUUUGAGUUACAUCAGCUUGGUGUUGUAUAACUUUAUUGUACUCAAAUGUUUAUUUCCUCUAGGUUUGGGAAGUUCUCUGAUAUCCUUUUGAAUAAACUUCCUAUCUCUUUCUUCCUCCUCUUUUAAGGCCAAAAACUUUUUUUUUUUGAGGUGGAGUCUUGCUCUAUAACCCAGGCUGGAGUGCAGUGGCAUGAUCUCAGCUCACUGCAACCUCCGCCUCUCGGGUUCAGGUGAUUUCUCCUGCCUCAGCCUCUCGAGUAGCUGGGAAGACAGGAGUGCACCACAACCCUUGGCUAAAGCAGUGUUGAGAUUUCACCAUGUAGGUCAGGCUAGUCUUAAACUCCUGACCGCAAGUGAUCCACCCACUUCAGCCUCUCAAAGUGUUGGGAUUAUUGUGUGAGCCACUGUGCCUGGCAGGUCAAAAACUCUUAGUUUUGCCCUUUUGAGGCUAUUUCCUAGAUCUUGUAGGGGUGCUUUAUUCUUUUUUUUUUUUUGUCUCCUCUGACUGUGUAUUUUCAAAUGUCUGUCUUCAAGCUCAGUAAUUCUUCUGCUUGAUCAACUCUGCUAUAAAAGACUCUGAUGCAUUCUUCUGUAUGUCAAUCGAAUUUUUCAACUCCAGAAUUUCUGCUUGAUUCUUUUUAAUUAUUUUUAUCUCUUUGUUAAAUUUGUCUGAUAGAAUUGUGAAUUCCCUCUCUUUAUUAUCUUGAGUUUGUUUUGAGUUUCCUCAAAACAGCUAUUUUAAAUUCUCUGUCUGAAAGGUCUCAUAUCUUUGUUACUCCAUAAUUGGUCCCUGGUGCCCUGUUUAAUUCAUUAGUUAAGGUCAUGUUUUCCUGAUGGUGUCGAUGCUGUCAGAUGUUCUUUGGUGUCUAGGCAUCAAAGAUUUAGAUACUUACUGCAGCCUUUGCAGUCUAGGCUUGUUUGGGCCCAUUCUACUUGAGGACACUAUUCAGGUAUUUGAAGGGACUUGGACCCAAGAUUCAGAUAUUUGCAGUAGCCUUUGCAAUCUGGGUUUGUUUGGGCUUAUCCUCCUUGAGGAAACUUUUCAGGUGUUUGAAGGGACUUGGAUUUGGCUGUAGUUUUUACAGACUCAUGGGGUACCACAUUGGUGGUCUUGGAUAAUUCAGAGGAGAAAGAGAGUCUCUCUCCCUCUUUGCUGAACAGCCUGGAACUGGGGAUGUGGUAAUAUAAGCACUCCUGUGGCCAUGACCACUGGAACUGUCUGGGUCAGGCAUGAAGCCAGCCCAGCACUGGGUCUUGCCCAAGGCCUGCUGUAACCAUUACCUGCCUUCCACCUAUGUUCAUGCAAGACCAUGGGGCUAUAUGAACAGCAGGUGGCAAAGCCAGGCAGAUUUGUGUCCUUCUCUUCAGUGCAGCGAGUUCCCCCAAACCCUGGGCAGGUCCAGAGAUAUUGUCUGGGAGCCAGGGAGUAGAGUGAAAGACCUUAGAAAUUUGCCUGAUAUUCUAUUCUACUGCAGCUAAGGUGGCACUCAAACCAGAAUACAAAGUCCUUCUCACGCUUUCUUCCCCUUUCCACAAGGCAGAGGAGCCUCUCUCUGUGGCCACCACCACAACUGGCCUAUGGCAGGUCUUGCCAGGCUACCACUGAUAUUCACUUAAAGCACAAGGGCUCUUUAGUCAGCUUGUGGUGAAUGCUGUCAGGCCUGGGAUGCACCCUUCGGGGCAGUGGACUCCCUUCUGUCUCAGGGCAGGCCCAGAAAUGCUAUCCAAGAGCCUGGUCCUGGACUCAGGGACCCCAAGAGGCUUCUUGUUGCUUGAUCCCCCUGUGGUCUAGCUGGUACCUAAGGUGCAAACAAAGUCCCCUUUACUUUUUCCUCUGCUUUUCUCAAACAGAAGGAAACUUUUGCUGUAGUCACCACAGCUGGAAAUGUGCUGAGUCAUACUUGUAAUCAGCAUAUCUCAGAUCUCAAGACCCACCGUGUCACUGGUGGUUAUUCAGGGCCCAAGGAUUCUUUAGCCAGUAGAUAAUGAAUUUUGCCAGGACUGGGUCCUUCCCUUCAAGAUAGUGGGCUCGCUUUUAGCUCAAGGUGUGUCUAAAAAUGUCUGGGAACUAGAGCCUGGAAUGGGGAACUCAUGACUCUGCCCAGUGCCCUAUCCUACUGUGGCUGAGCUGGUAUCCAAGAUGCAAGAGAAAGUCAUUGUUACUCUUCACGGUGAAAGACUUUCAUUGCUGUGAGCUACACUGCCUGUGGUUGGGGAAGGGGCAGUGCAAGUACUCCUGUAGCUACCCUGGCUAUUAUCUUCCUAGGUCACCCGCUACCCUAGUCCUCUGGCUCUGAGCCCAGCCCAACACUGGGAGCUACCUAGGAAUUGCAGUCCUUGUGUCCUAGACUGCCUUUCAAAUUUACCUAGGACCCCAGAGCACUUUGGCUUGCAGUGGUGAGGCUUGCUGAGAGCAGUGGUCAGAUGUGUGGUCAUAUACUGAUUCGUGGGCUAUAGCCAAUGGUUUGGCUGGAUUCUCAGUGACUUGGAAGACACAUGAUUGGAAAACUGGUGACAAAGAAAUCUAGGGAAGAGGUAUGUGGAUAGACUUCUCAGAGUGGUCAAAAACUGUGAAGAUAUUUGUAUUCCAUGUGAGCUCUCACCAAUGGGUGACCUCAGCAGAGGAGGAUUUUAGUAAUCAAGUGGGCAGGAUUACCCAUUCUGUGGACACCACUCAGCCUCUCUUUCCAGCCAUCCCUGUCAUGGCCAGAUGGGCCCAUGAACAAAGUGGCCAUGGUGGCAAGGAUGGAGGUUACACAUGGACUCAAUAACAUGGAUUUCCACUCACCAAGGCUGACCUGGCUAUAGCCACUGCCGAAUGCCCAAUUUGCCAGCAGCAGAGACCAAUGCUGGACUCUUGAUAUAGCACCAUUCCUUGGAGUGAUCAGCCAGCUACCUGGUGGCAGGUUGAUUAUAUUGGACUUCUUCCAUCAUGGAAAGGGCAGAGGUUUGUCCUCACUGGAAUAGAAAUGUGUUUGCCUAUCCUGCAUGCAAUGCUUCUGCCAAGCCUACCAUCUGUGGACUCAUGGAAUGCCUUAUCCGCCAUCAUGGUAUUCCACACAGCAUUGCCUCUGACCAAGGUACUCACUUUAUGGCUAAAGUGGGCUCAUGCUCGUGGAAGUCACUGGUUCUACUGUGUUCCCUAUCAUUACGAAGCAGCUGGCUUGAUAGAACAGUGGUAUGGUCUUUUCAAACCACAACUACAAUGUCAACUAGUUGACAAUACCUUGCAGGGCUGGGGCAAAGUUCUCCAGAAGGCUGUGUAUGCUCUGAAUCAGUGUCCAAUAUAUGGUACUGUUUCUCCCGUAUCCAGGAUUCACGGGUUCAGAAAUCAAGGGGUGGAAGUGGAAGUGGCACCACUCACCAUUACCCAUAGUGAUCCACUAGGAAAAUUCUCAUGACAUUACAUUCUGCUGACCUAAAGGUCUUAGCUCCAGAGGGAGGAACACUGCCAGCAGGAGAUACAACAAUGAUUCCAUUAAACUGGAAGUUAAGAUUGUUACCUGGACACUUUGGGCUUCUCCUACCUUUAAGUCAACAGGCUAAGAAGAGAGUUACAGUGUUGGCUUGGGUGACUGACCUGGACUGUCAAGUUGAAAUCAGUCUACUACUCUACAGCAGAGGUAAGGAAGAAUACGAAUGGAAUACAGGAGAUCCAUUAGGGCAUCUCUGAGUAUUACCAUGCCCUUUGAUUAAGGUCAAUGGGAAACUACAAUAGCCCAAUCCAGGCAGGACUACAAUUUGCCCAAACCCCUCAGGAAUGACAGUUUGGGUCACCCUACCAGGAAAAAUCCCAUGACUUGCUGAGGUGCUUGCUGAAGGUAAAGGGAAUACAGAAUGGGUAGUAGAGGGUAGUCAUCAAUACCAGCUAUGACCACAUUGACCAGCUGCAGAAACAAGAUUGUAAUUGUCAUAAGUAUUUCCUCCUUCUUUUGUUAAAAACAUGUUUGUGCAUGUAUACACUUGUACUAAGAAAAUAUAUUUUAUUUCCUUUUUCUUUAUCAUAAGAUUAAUUGAUUUUAUGUCAGCAUUUAUGUAUUGUUAACUUGGUGUAAUAGUAUUUGGAUUGGGGAUUGGUGCAUUUCUGGUUGUGCAAAGGAUAGCUGCAUUAUGUUAAAUUUAAUUGUGACCUUAUUGUUGUUGUUAUUUGAAGAUUACAUGUGAUCUCAGGAGAUGUGUGUGGGUUCAAUUUGACAAGGGGUGGGCUUGUGAUGGUUAAUACUGAGUGUCAACUUGAUUGGAUUGAAGGAUUCAAACUAUCGAUCCUGGGUGUGUCUGUGAGGGUGCUGUCAAAAGAGAUUAACAUUUGAGUCAGUGGGGUGGGGAAAGCAGAUCUACCCUUAAUCUAGUGGGCACAUUCGAAUCAGCUGACUGUUAAUAUAGAGCAGGCAGAAAAACGUGAAAAGAAGAGAUGGGCCUAGCCUCCCAGUAUCUUUCUCCCAUCCUGGAUGCCUACUGCCUUCGAACAUUGGACUCCAAGUUCUUUGUUCUGGGACUCAGACUAGCUCUCCUUGUGCUUCAGCUUGCAGACAGCCUAUUGUGGACCUUGUGAUCAUGUAAGUUAAUACUUAAUAGGCUCCUCUUUAUAGAUCUAGCUUAAUUUUGCAGCUCAGAAAUUUCUUUAAGAACUGAAUUUUAUGGCUUUUUUCAUGGUAGGGUGCUCCAAACUGUCAUUUCUGAGGGGCUUGGCCCAACUGUAGUAUUGCCUGGAUUGGGCUGUUGUAGUUUCCAAUUGACCUUAAUCAUUUAUAUAUAAAUCUAUAAAUAAAUAAGUAAACAUACAUAUAUAUAUAUAUAUAUAUAUAUCCUAUUAGUUCUAUUGUCCCUCUGGAGAGCCCUAAUACAGAUGCCACCGAAUAUUGGUCCAUAGCAAUAAAACACAUAUUUGCUGUUAAUUAUAUAGUCCCAAUCUCAGCCAGUCCUGUUAGAAUUGGAGACUAUUCCACUUGUAAUUUUUAUAUCCUUUCCUCAGUUACACUUCCCUUCCACCUAUAGGGACUAGAGUAGUGACAUUUAAGUAAAAGGGGCUAUUUUAAAAAAAUAUGGUGUUUAACCAUCUGGGGUAAUAUGAGUUACUGAAUUGGGGUUACUCUGAUUUUUUUAAAAAAAGCCUUGUUACAAAUUUUAAACAAAUCAAUGUUUUAAUGUUAAUAAGAAAAAUUUAUAAAUUUCUCCUACACUCCUACAAUCCCUAUCCUUGAAUUAAUUGAUGUUAACACUUUAAUAUAUAAUUUAUCUCCUCUUGUGCUAGUCUCACUCUGUGUGUGUGUGUAAAAUGGGGCCAUGUGUUUUAUAAAAAUACCUACAUGAGUCACUUAGGAUGCAUUCAGUUACAGGGAAUAGAAAACUCAAUUUAAUUGGCUUCAACAAGCAAAUGUAUUGGUUUAUAUAGCUAGAAAUUUCAAAAGUUAAGACAAGUUUUGGUGUUAGCUUAAUUUGGCAGCUCAGAAAUUUCUUUAAGGGCUGAAUUUCUUUAUAUAUAUAUAUUAUUUCUGGGAUAUCUGCUUCAUCCCAAAGCUUAUUCCUCAAGUGAUGGCAACAUGGCUACCAACAUCCUCUGAAACCACCUCUUCCAACCCGGAAGAGUGAGUGUCCCCUCCCCAGCCACUGGGCAGUGUCCUAGGCUUCCCUCUCAUUGGACCAUCUUGAUCAUGUGCCUUUACUGGGCCUGGAGACUGUCCUAUGUUGAUUGGCUUAGAUCUGGCUUAUGUGCUGGUUCCUGAAACAAACACUGUGCCAAGAGCAGGAUAUCCUUGUAGUUCAAUUUAGCUGAAUCUGGACCUCCUGCGCUGGAGCUGAGGAUGGAGUAAGUACCAGCCAAACUGCCUGGACAUUACCCAGUGCUGUGGGGGUGGAACGGACGCUGAGCAGCUCACCCUAAUACCCAAUUCAUCAUAGAAAAAGGACAGGAAGGAUAUACCCCAAAGUACCUACAGCAGUUAUUUUCAAGUGGUGGUACUAUGGGGAUUUUUUAUUUUCUUUUUUAUGCUUAUCUGUAUUUUACAUUUUUGACAACAAGCAUAUAUUGUGUGAAUAAUUUCAAGGAGAAAUGAAAGCUAUAAAUAUGAGGAAAAGCUGGUAUAUAACACUGGCAAGUAAUUAGCAGCUUGAGGGAUUUAAAACAGACGUGUUGGCAAACAGGAAAUAUGCAUUUUCAGAAUGGUACCAACUGUGCCUUGCAGAAGCUUCCAACUGCCUUUGUCUUGCCUCUGUUACAUAAUCGCGGUCAUUUCUACAGACUUAAUCUGAGAUCUCUGAAGGCUAGUCUGGCUUAAAACUACCAGUUCCAGUGGCUUGCAUUUUCCUCUUCUAUAUGGGUGGGGAAGACUUUUGAGCUUUCCCUUAGAGACACUUUCCCUUAUGGGCAUGAGAGUGUGUGCCUCUUUGCAGAAGGACCCCUGUAUGCAGAAGAAGGGGCGCUGGCCUCGGCUUCCUUCACUUCCUCUUGGACAGAAGACACUGAGCAUUCUUUCACUAAGUGGUCACCCCAGGGGUCCUCAGCUUUCUCAGACUUUCUGCAGCUCUCUAUAUGGUGAAUCACAGAGCGACACUGGCAGCAGGCACCAUGGAAAGGACCCUCAAAUCUGAAGGCUCAAGGCGCUGGGAAAAGAUGAAGUGGAGCCUGCUCCUUGGUUUCCUACUGUUAGAUGCUGGGUGUUGGAAGUUCUUCCUUGGAUUCACAAAGAAACUCCUGCUGUUCUUCCACAUACUUUUUCCUGGGAAAGACAACUUGUUUCACUGUCAGAAAAGAUCCCCACUGUUAAAGUGACGUGAGGAUGUCUAAUGUCAGGGUAGGCAUCUGCAUUCUCACUUUGAUUUCUGCUUGAAGCUGAUUCUCAGAUUUUCUGCACUUUCAGAAAUUUGAUUUUAUCUGACCAUGCCCUUCUGGAGUUAUUCUGUUGUGAUGUAGGAAAAUACAGUGUAGGGGAGGAAAUGAAGAUGGACAUUGGAUGGUCUUAAGGAAGCAUUCUGUGUUUCUCCUGGUUAUGUCUCCACCCUACCAGAAUGCACAUUUCACAAGAGAAGGCUUUUCUUGCUAGCCUGUGUUUGUACUAGGAUUCAUCUGACUAUUCCUGCUCUGGCUUUUCGUGCAAGAGAACGAAGACUACUUUCCCCAUAUCUUCUUGGUAAAAGGAAAAAGGAACUUGCUUUUCACUAAUCCAAGGGAAAUAGAAUUAAACCUGGAAGAAAGUUCACGCUAGUCUCCAAUGCUAAGUCAGAGAAAAUGAAAAACCUUUGGUGGAAUCUGCCAGGACUCUGUGGAUUUCAGCUUUGCCAAGAUUGUUCUGAUAAAGCAUCUGGUUUAUGGGAGCCAAGCUAUUCCUGAGAUCAUGAACCUGUCUCUGAGCACUGCAACGCAUCAGAUUGACUGAGGUGAGAAGCAACCGUGAGGGCCUCCAUGUGGUCACCUUCUCUUUUGCCACAGCCAUCACUGUCAUCAUUAUGACAACAGCGUCACAGAAUUCAAAGCCGUGGACAGAGGCCUGAUACAUCCUCCUUUGCCCGCGUCUGCUGUGCAUCUCUUUCUACUGUGGCCUGGGGAUGGUUUUCCAAGGAAUGUGGGCGCUUCUGGCCAGCAGCCCCCUGCUGAUAUGCUGGAUGGUGUUGGAGCCCAGCUGAGUGUUGGAGAAGGGAUUCUCUUCACCGUAGCCUUGAUGGCCCUCAAUACUUAGGUGGCGAUUCGCCGUCCACUGAAAUCUCUAUCCUUUGUAGAUGCAGUUGAGUAUAGGAUUCUGGCUGGGACUUGGACAACCAUUAUACUCAAGAGUGUUUGCUUGUUCGUCAUAGAGGGCACUAAACCCACGGUGGCUGCAGUUUUAAAAUCGGAACCCCUUUGCCCUGUGACCUUGAAUGACACUCCCGCCAGGGCCACUGGCAUGAGUUUUAUUUUCCUUCUUUUGUCUGUCAUUCUUAGAAGCUACUCUCUGAUAUACCACAAUGGGAAAUGGGCUGGCUAUUUUAAUAGGCCAGUUAUCAAAGCAGGGAAAACAGUCCUUAUUCAUUUAGUGCAGAUAAGCUUACAUAUCAUACCGACUCUGAGAUUCAUAGGUUUGGGGAAGGUGUGCAGGGUGUUUUCCUUUGCUUGAAAUCUGGUGGGUUUUGGUGCUUUUGCAUUUGCCCAGUGUUUUAGCCCUCUGAUCUAUGGGCUCUGGAAUAGAGCUUCAAAGCAGAUUACACCACUGGAUGUGCUGUCACAUCCCCGUCACAGCUGUGGCGUGGUUACACUGUGAACAGCCGAGGGCCAGUUUAGAAAAAGCUCAGCCAUUGAAUCAAUAACUCUAGUCCUGAUGGUCUCAUCAGCUAAGGCUGAGGGCUUGUCUUUCACUCAAACUAAAUUUGGUGCCUUCGUUUGAUUUUGAAAGCAAUAUCAGUAAGUCAAAGUUAUUUGUUUGGAUUACAAACUUGACUACUAUGUACACAGUAUUGGCCUCAGUGAAAUCUUUUUAAUAUCUUUAAUUUGAAACCCAGGCCAGUGUUUUUUUUUUUUUAAUUGUAAUUUAGGUUCUGGGGUGCGUGUGCAGAUUAUGCAGGAUUGUUGCAUAGGUACAUAACUGGCACGGUGGUUUGCUGCCUUCACCCCCCCAUCGCCUGUAUCUGGUAUUUCGUCCCUCAUUAUCCCUCCCCACCCUCCCCACCCCCACUGUCCCUCCCCUAACCCCCACUACUGACUGCAGUGUGAUGCUCCCCUCCCUGUGUCCAUGUGUUCUGAUUGUUCAACACCCCCCAGGCCAGUGUUAUUAGCAGCGUGCUCUACUGUGUUUGAGCAGUUAGGCAGAUCUUGGGAAUAUACUUGUUCUUAGAAACUGAGAAAUGGUCCAUGGUUAAUGUGAAGGGAAGAAGUUUGGCUGUUUCCAUUAUAUUAAUUAAGGGUAGAUUCAGCGGCAUAUAAUAAAAAUACAGCAACAAAAUAACAGUGGCUUCAAAAAGUUAGAGAUAGAUUUUUUUUGUCUUUUUCUUUUUUUUUUUUUAGACGGAGUUUCGCUCUUGUUACCCAGGCUGGAGUGCAAUGGCGCGAUCUCAGCUCACCGCAACCUCUGCCUCCUGGGUUCAGGCAAUUCUCCUGCCUCAGCCUCCCGAGUAGCUGGGAUUACAGGCAUGCGCCACCAUGCCCAGCUAAGUUUUUGUAUUUUUAGUAGAGGCAGGGUUUCACCGUGUUGACCAGGAUGGUCUUGAUCUCUUGACCUCGUGAUCCACCCACCUCGGCCUCCCAAAGUGCUGGGAUUACAGGCUUGAGCCACCGCGCCCGGCCUGUCUUUUUCUUUAAGACAGGGUCUGGCUCUGUCACCUAGGCCUGGGUGCAGUGGUGCAAUCACAGCUCACUGCAGCCUCAAACCUCCUGGCCUUAAGUGAUCCUCCAGACUCAGCACCCCCAAGUACCUGGGUUUAUAGGCACAUACCACCAUACCUGGCUAAUUAAAAAAUACUAUUUUUUUUUUUUGUAGGAACAGGGUCUCACUAUGUUGCCCAGGCUGGUUUCAAACUCUUGGGCCAAAGUGAUCCUCCCACCUCAGCCUCCUAAAAUGUUGGAAUUACAGGUGUGAGCAACAAUGCCCACCCAUUUUUUUUCUUAUGUAAAAUAAACAUAGAGGUACAUAAUCCAGGCCUAUGUGGCAGCUCCGCUGUCAUUCUCUUCUGUUGUGCCAUGAUUACUGUGCCACCUCAUGACUCAAGAUGGCUGUUAGUGCACCUAUCAUCACAUCCACACUCCAAUCAACAGUGGAAGGAGCAAAGAAGGGUCAGCACCUUUCUUCCGUAGAUACUUCCUAGAAGUUACACAAAAUACUUUUUCUUAUACCAAACUGGUCAACAUUUAGUCACAUAGGUAUGCCUAGUGAUAUGGUUUGGCUCUGUGUCCCCAUCCAAAUCUCAUGUUGAAUUGUAAUUCCCAGUGUUUUGGGAGGGACCUGGUGGGAGGUGAUUGAAUCAUGGGGGUGUAUUUCCUCCUUGCUGUUCUUGUGAUAGUGAGUGAUUUCUCACGAGAUCUGGUUGUUUUUGAAAGUGUAUGGCACUUCCUCCUUCAUACUUUGUCUCUUCUGCCACCAUGUAAAGAAGGUUCCUUUCCCCUUCACCCUUCUGCCAGGAGUGUAAGUUGCUUGAGGCUUCACAGUUCAUGCUGAACUGUGAGUCAAUUAAACCUCUUUCUUUUACAAAUUACCCAGUCUUAGGCAGUUCUUUAUAGCAGUGUGAGAAUGGACUAACACAGAAAGUUAGUACCAGGAAAGUAGGGCCUUGCUAUAAAGAUACCAGAAAAUAUGGAAGCAACUUUGGAACUGGGCAACAGGCAGAGAUUGGAACAGUUUGGAGGGCUCAGAAAACAGGAAGAUGAGGGAAAGUUUGGAAUGUCCUGGGGACUUGUUGAAUGGUUGUAACCAAAAUGCUGACAGUGAUAUGGACAGUGAAGUCCAGGCUGAGGUGGUCUAAGAUGGAGAUGAAGAACUUAUUGGGAACUGGAGUAAAGGUCAUUCUUGCUAUGCUUUAGCAAAGAUACUCGUGGCAUUGUGCCCCUGCUCUAAAGGUCUGUGGAACUUUGAACUUAAGAAAGAUGAUUUAGGGCAUCUGGUGGAAGAAAUUUUUAAGCAAUAAAGUGUUCAAGAUGUGACCUGGUUAUUUCUAAAAGUGUACACUUGUGUAUGUGAAGAAAGGCAUGGUCUGAAAUUUGAACUCAUAUUUAAGAGGGAAGCAGAGUAUAAAAGUUUGGGAAAUUUGUAGCCCAACCCUGUGGUAAGAAAGAAAAACUCUAUCUCUGGGGAGGAAUUCCAGGCUGCAGAAAUUUGCACAAGUAAAGAAGAACCAAAUGUUAAUAGCCAAGACAAUGGGAAAAAGGCCUCCAGGGCAUUUCAGAGACCUUUGAAGCAGCCCCUUCCAUUGCAGCCCUGGAGGCCUACAAGGGAAAAAUGAUUUCGUGGGCCAGGCCCAGGGCCAUGCUGCUCUGUGCAGCCUUGGGACAUGAUGCCCUGUAUCCCAGCUGCUUCAGCUCUAGCCAUGCCUAAACGGGGUCAAGGUACAGCUUGGGCCAUGGCUUCAGAGGAUGCAAUCUCCAGGUCUUGGUGCCUUCCAUGUGGUGUUGGGCCUGUAGGUGUGCCAAAGUCAGGAGCUGAGGUUUGGGAACCUCCACCUAGAUUUCAUCCGCCUGGAUGUCCAGACAGAAGUCUGCUGCAGGGGCAGAGCCCUCAUAGAGAACCUCUACUAGGGCAGUGCAGUGGGGAAAUGUGGAAUUGGAACCCCCACACAGAGUCCCCGCUGGGGCACUGCCUAGUGGAGCUGUGAAAAGAGGGCCACCAUCCUUCAGACUUCAGAAUGGGAGAUCCACCGACAGCUUGCACUGUGUACCUGGAAAAGCCACAGGCACUCAAUGUCAGCCUGUGAAAGCAGCUGAGGGGGCUGUACCCUGCAGAGCAACAGGGUUAGAGCUUCCUAAGGCCUUGGGAGCCCACCCCUUGCAUCAUUGUGACCUGGAUGUGAGACAUGAAGAUUUAAUGACUGCCCUGCUGGGUUUUGGACUUGCAUGAGACCUGUAGCCCCUUUGUUUUGGCCAAUUUCUCCCUUUUAGAAUAGAAGCAUUUACCCAAUGCCUGUACUGCCAUUGUAUCUUGGAAGUAACUAACUUAUUUUUGAUUUUACAGGAUCAUAGAUAGAAGGGACUUGUCUCAGAUAAAACUUUGGACAUGGACUCUUGAGUUAAUGAUGGGAUGAGUUGAGACUUCAGGGGACUGUUAGGAAGGCAUGAUGGUGUUUUGAAAUGUGAGGAAGACAUGAGAUUGGGGAGAAUCCAGGGGUGGAAUGAUAUGAUUUGGCUCUGUGUCCUCACCCAAAUCUCAUGUUGCAUUGCAGUCCCCAAUGUUGGGGGAGGAACUUGGUGGGAGGUGAUGGGAUCACUGGAGGCACAUGUCCACCUGGCUGUUCUCGUGACACUGAGUGGAUUCUCAUGAGAUCUGGUUGUUUGAAGGUGUGUGGUACUUCCCUCUUUGCUCUCUGUCUUCUGCCAGCAUGUGAAGAAGGGGCAGGAAAAGCUGAUAAGAAACCUUAAUUCCAACUGCAACCUUAAUUCCUAAUUCCUUCUUGUAAUGCAGCACAACAUAGCCACAUAACUUAAUCUGCAGGCCCUCAGAUUAAGAAACAGACUCAUCAACAAGUAAGACACAACUUUCUACAAACCCCCUCCCCACAAAAGCCAAGCUGUCUCUUUAUUUUUGUUAACGUUUAUUUUUCUGAGUCUGCUUGCUAGGGAACUGUUGCACUAUUAAGCCAUCUAUGAGCAAACAAUAUCUUUGUUCCUCAGAAAGUAAAAGAAAAAGUAAAAAAAAAAAAAUUAGCAAGUUGAACUUAUAUAUAAGUCCUAGAUCUAAUAUAAGUCAUUUAAUUUAUCCUUAAAACUUAAAAAACGAUUAAAACUCUAUUUUCUGAUCUCAAAGGUGACUUCUGCUUGCAACAUUAAAUGCUAAGUGGUAGUUUUAUACUUUCAAAUACAAAUUAUCAUUUUUAAAAUUAAAAAAACUUUGAUUUGGGAAUCUAAAUGGUGUAAAAUUCAAAAGAUCCAAAUGAUAUUUGGUUAAAAAAAAUCUUUUUCCUCCCCAUUUUCCCAGGUCCCCCACUCUUCUCUAAGAAUCAACCAAUGUUAACAGUUUUUUGUUUCCUUAAGAGAUGACCUACAAAAGGCAAACUAUUGAGAACUUAUCAUUUGUAAGAUAAUUUUGGUUUUGAUAUCCUAGAUUUAGAUAGGAAAGUUGUUUAAACUGGUAUUUAGAUUAAUAAUUUAUGUCACAAAUGAGAGUGUUCAUGAUAUCAGCAAUAAUUAAUUUCAUGAUGUGAAAAUCCUUUGCACCCCCCAGGAAACUUAAACUUGGGCAAGAUACAAAAGGAAAGGGAAGAGAGGAAGUGGUAGGCAAAUUACUUGCAAUCGUGGAGAGUUCUUGUAAGAUGUUCUUUGCUCAUAUUGAAAUGGUGCAAUGAUAUUGAGUUUAAAAUCAGAAAGGGUAUAGCCAGGCGUGGUGCCUCAGGAGUUCCAGACCAGCCUGACCAACAUGAAGAAACCUCAUCUCUACUAAAAAUACAAAAUUAGCCGGGCGUGGUGGUACAUGCCUGUAAUCCCCCCUACUCAGGAGGCUGAGGCAGGACAAUCACUUCAACCUGGUAGGCGGAAGUUGUGGUGAGCCGAGGUAGCGCCAUUGCACUCCACUCCAGCCUGGGCAACAAGAGUGAAACUCCAUCUCAAAAAAAAAAAAAAAAAAAAAAGUCAGAAAUGGUGGGAGGUUUGGGCAAAUGUUCAGAGAAGAUAUAGCUUUCAUAAAGCUCUAAGAAUAAAUUGCUUUAAGGAUAAAAUGUGAAUUAUCUCAAAAUUUCCAGGUUCUUAUGAAUAUUUUAUUUACCGUAACUGCAACCACAUUACUUCUGCAUGAAACUAUUUCUGGCUUCUAUGGAGAUAUGCUAUAUAAAUACAUAUGGACUAAUUUAAGAAUAAACAGGCAAAAAUCUUAAAAGCAAGCAUAGAAAAGUAGUAGUUCAUAACACUCAUCCUAAGAAAAUGUUGAAUGGAUUCAGGCCAUUGUUUAGUCAAGUACAAGACGGCAAAAUCAGCCAUGCUUAAGGAUUUUAAGCUUUUUAUAUUCCUCCGAGAAAGUCAAAGUCCAUGUUUGUGGAAGUACCUGCCUGAUGGCCAAAGACACGGAUAUGCAGUGGAGAGAAAGCUGCACAUGGGUCAGGGUAAGGAGAGGAUGCCAGAGUGUUCUUUUGAGCCAGUAAGACUUACAGGUAGGGUCUGGCUUUGGGUUGUUGGAAGGGACCUGUCCAAAGGGCUUCAUGCCAAAGGAGAGGGGCCUCAGCAGAAAGAGGCUGGGGGUUACUACUGGCAGCAGAGGAUGAAAAUGGAGUGAGAAGCACCUGGCUAAAGACAAGGAUUUCCCAAGAGUCCAGAGGGGAUAACUUAGACUGAGGACCCCACUAAGUGCUAUAGAAAAGAAAGAAUCGCCACUAGGAAUCUGCCCUCCCCAGUAGAUGCAGUUAUCAUAUUACAGCUGCCUAUGUUAAGGAUGGCCUUUCCUGCCCUUUCAUCUUCUUCCAAGCUCUAUUCCAACCCUGGAGUAGUCACGGGCAACCUAGGGGUAGGGAAAGCUGAUAGGAAACCUUAAUUCCAUCUGCAACCUUGAUUCCUUCUCGCAAUGCAGCACAACAUAGCCACAUAGCAUAGCCAUAAGCUUUGUGGGAGUGGAGGAUGUUAUUCUGCCUAUUAUGUUUACUAAAAUGAGAUUGUUCUUUGGAGCUGAUAAUGACCAAAGAACACUUUUUUUCUUUUUUUGAGACAGAGUCUUGCUCUGUCGGCCAGGCUGAAGUGCAGUGGCGCAAUCUCGGCUUGCUGAAAUCUCUGCCUCCUGGGUUCAAGCAAUUUUCCUGCCUCGGCCUCCUGAGUGGCUGGGAUUACAGGUGUGCAUCACCACAGCUGGCUAAUUUUUGUAUUUUUAGUAAAGAUGGGGUUUCACCAUGUUGGUCAGGUUGGUCUCAAACUACUCCUGACCUCGUGAUCUGCCUGCCUCAGCCUCCCAAAGUGCUGGGAUUACAGGCAUGAGCCACUGCACUCGGGCAGGACUUUUUAUUAUUUAAGAAUAACGAGGCAAAAUUCAAUUCAAAACCAUAAUGAGUUAUCUCCUUACAUCUGUUAUGACAGCUACCAUUAAAAAACCCACAGAAAAUAACCAGUGCUGCUGAGGAUGUGGAGAAAUUGGAAUACUGGUGCAUUGCUGGUGCAGUUGUAAAUAGUGUGACCACUACGCAGUAUGAAGGUUCCUCAAAAAAUAAAAGAAAAUUACCAUAUGAUUCAGCAAUCCCAUUUCUAGGUAUAUAUCCAGAAAGAAUUGAAAGCAGAUCUUGAAGAGAGACUUGCAUGUCACUGUAGCAUCAUUCGCAAUAGCCAAGAGGUGGAAGCAACCCAAAUGUCCAUCAUGCCUCAUGGAUGAAUAGAUAUAUGCAGUUGCAUAUCUAUACAUAUAUACACACAUAUAGCAGCUAUGUAUAUAUGUGUGUAUAUAUAUGUGUGUGUAUAUAUGUGUAUAUAUAUAUAUAUAUAUAAAAUGUUCCAAUGGCUUAAAGAAGGAACUAAUUAUUGGUAAGUGGGAUAUAUAUUUCCUUCCUUUUAAAGGUUAAGCAAUAUUCCAUUGUGUAUAUAUAUGGGGUGUGUGUGUGUGUGUGUGUGUGUGUGUGUAUAUAUACACACACAUAAUUUAUAUAUACAAUUAUAUAUAUAUAUAUAUAUAAUUUCCCAAUGGCUUAAAGAAGGAACUAAUUAUUGGUAAAUAUCCUGAUCUUAUUACAUUUUAAGAUAUGGUAUAAGAUAUAGAAUAUAGUAUAUAUAAAUUAUAAAUUAUGUGUGUAUAUAUAUACACACAAUGGAAUAUUGGUAUAUAUACACAAUAGAAUAUAUAUAUACACAAUAGAAUAUUGAUAUAUAUCUUAUAUAUGUAAUAUGUAAUAUUGAUAUAUAUUAUAUAACAGAAUUAUAAUACAUACAUAAUAUAAUCUUAUUGUGAUAAGAUACAUAUCAAUAUUGUAAUAUGACAUGUAAUAUAUGUAAUAAGAUAUAUAUAAUAUUGCAGUAUGUAAAUCCAUAUCUAUCCACACAAUGGAAUAUUGUUUAACCUUAAAAAAACCAGAAUGUAGUUUAACCUUAAAAAGGAAGGAAAUUAUGUCCUAAGCUACAAGAUGGAUGAGCUCUGAGGACAAUAACGCUAAGUGAAAUAAAACAGUCACUAAAGACAAAUACUA